UAGACGCUUCAGUUGCUUUCUUCACCUGAAAACAAAACGAAAGAGAGAGUGGGACGAGAUGGAGCUCCGACGAGGCCGUGGGAAGAGAUGACGAUGAUGGCCGUGGGAAGAGAUGGAGCUCCAACGAUGGCCGUGGGAAGAGAUGGAGCUCCGACAAUGGCCGUUCGAUGUCCGACAGGCGACAAUGCUUCUGGUUACCACAUCGUGUUCAAUCUGCAGCAGAGCUUCUCUCCUUUUCGUUCACCAAAAGUGAUCAGAGCAAGUGUCCCUAAGCUGCUUCUUGAUUAUGUCUUCUCUGCUUCAUCAAGCCACCACCGGUGCUUCUCUACUUCAUCAAACCACCACCGGAGCUUCUCUGCUUCAUCAAGCCUCCACCGGAGCUUCUCUGAUGCAACGGAUCCAAGUCCAGAACCUCCUGAAGCAAAAAUAAACUGAGAGGAAAUCUGUUGAGAGGCUUGUCCCAUCUUCAUCAGCUUUUUCUUCGCUAUCAGGAACAUGGCUGAGAAAGUACCGUCAUUUAAAACCAGUGGAACUCUUUGGUUUACGAUCUCACCACUGCAUAUACUACAUAUAUCUUGCCAUUAAGACCCGCGCCUUGAUAAUUAAAUUUUUCUUGAUAAUCAAAUUGUCCUAGACACGUAUACAUACACGCAUUUUCCUUGAUAAUUAAAAUAGCCCUUCAUGGUAUUGUGCUUCAUGGUAUACGUAUACGUACACACAAUAAAAAAAAUUGUCUUAAGUGAAUGAAAUAGACUUUGCUAUGAUCAAGUCAUUCUUGUUUGGUGUUUGUUCCUGCAGAAACUCAUUCUUGUUUAUGUUUGUUCGUGCAGGAAGAAGUAAACAGUGUAAUAUCCGAUAUCCUGCGGGACGGUCCGCAAAGGCCUACAAAGAAUGCGGUACAGGAUUGGGCAGCUAUUUUCAGAACCGCAUCCUGCGCAGGACAGGUCCGCCGUGUCCCGCCCGAAGACAAACCCGCAGCGGUCCGGGACGGGACGGGAGAACCGAAUUGACAUCUCUACUAACGUGGCAGCUUCUGCUGGUUAACGUAUGAUUAUUACCGUACAUGACGUGGCAGAAAUCUAAUGGCUUAUCAGUUAUUAGGUCUGAACUAAGCCGAGCGUCUUUAAAAGACUACAAAUUUAAGCGUUUUUCCCAAAUCAUACGUAUAUUGAUACAACAAAUAUGUUACCAAUGAUUUUUUUUUUUUUUUUUUGAAAAUAACAUGUUAGCAAUG
Brassica oleracea var. oleracea is the source of this 1234-nucleotide long non-coding RNA. RefSeq lists it as uncharacterized. The record is from RefSeq and is a predicted model, not a curated record. The transcript is spliced from 3 exons. NCBI's taxonomy places the organism in Eukaryota, Viridiplantae, Streptophyta, Magnoliopsida, Brassicales, Brassicaceae.